Molecule: ribosomal RNA, 396 nt
Filed under: uncultured Hypotrichia
Lineage: Eukaryota; Ciliophora; Spirotrichea
Description: partial small subunit ribosomal RNA
Rfam family: Eukaryotic small subunit ribosomal RNA
Source: RNAcentral
GCUUGUCUCAAAGAUUAAGCCAUGCAUGUCUUAGUGUAAAUAACUCUUAUGAAACUGCGAAUGGCUCAUUAAAUCAGUUAUCGUUUAUUUGAUGGUCCCUUACUACAUGGAUAACCGUAGUAAUUCUAGAGCUAAUACAUGCACAAAGGCCCGACUCACGAAGGGCUGUAUUUAUUAGAUAACAAAUCAAUAUUCCCCGUGUCUAUUGUGAUGACUCAUAGUAACUGAUCGAAUCGCAUGGUCCUUGACCGCGAUACAUCAUUCAAGUUUCUGCCCCAUCAGCUUUCGAUGGUAGUGUAUUGGACUACCAUGGCUUUAACGGGUAACGGAGGAUUAGGGUUCGAUUCCGGAGAGGGAGCCUGAGAAACGGCUACCACAUCUAAGGAAGGCAGCAGG